CCUACGGGGUGCUGCAGUGAGGAAUAUUGGUCAAUGGCCGUAAGGCUGAACCAGCCAAGUAGCGUGAGGGAAGACUGCCCUAUGGGUUGUAAACCUCUUUUAUGCGGGGAUAAAUGUGUCCACGUGUGGAUGUUUGCAGGUACCGCUUGAAUACGGACCGGCUAAUUCCGUGCCAGCAGCCGCGGUAAUCCGGAAGGUCCGGGCGUUAUCCGGAUUUAUUGGGUUUAAAGGGAGCGUAGGCCGGUCUUUAAGCGUGCCGUGAAAUUUUGUGGCUCAACCAUGGGAGUGCGGCGCAAACUGGAGGCCUGGAGUGCGGGGAAGGCAGGCGGAAGUCGUGGUGUAGCGGUGAAAUGCUUAGAUAUCACGAAGAACCCCGAUUGCGAAGGCAGCCUGCCGCAGCGUGACUGACGCUGAAGCUCGAAAGCGCGGGUAUCGAACAGGAUUAGAUACCCCUGUAGUC
Molecule: ribosomal RNA, 460 nt
Filed under: uncultured bacterium
Lineage: Bacteria
Description: partial 16S ribosomal RNA
Rfam family: Bacterial small subunit ribosomal RNA
Source: RNAcentral